Molecule: long non-coding RNA, 763 nt
Filed under: Sorghum bicolor (sorghum)
Lineage: Eukaryota; Viridiplantae; Streptophyta; Magnoliopsida; Poales; Poaceae
Description: long non-coding RNA (SBIC_LNC001982)
Source: RNAcentral
GCUGCCUUGCCUGCCUACCAGCAAGCAAGGGCGGCGGCGGCCUGCUGCCUGCCUGCUUGGUACGGGAGGUCGGGAAGUCGAUGGCGGCCACGUAGGCCUUGUCACCUAAAAACCAAAAUCUUUUCAAGAUUUUUCGUUAUAUUAAAUCUUACAGCAUAUGUAUAGAACAUUAAAUAUAAAUAAAAACAAAAACUAAUUGCACAAUUUACCUGUAAAUCGCGAGACAAAUUUUUUAAGCCUAGUUACUUUAUGAUUGGACAAUGUUUAUCAAAUAAAAACAAAAGUGCUACAAUAUCAAAAUUCAAAAAAAAAACUAAACAAGGGCGUAACCGUGCACAAAUCACAAAAGGGCAAAAACAUCCAUCCAGGUGUUAAAUACAUGGAAGAAUCUAUAUACCUAAUAAUAAAAAAGUAAACUUUCCAUCAUAUUUUUUUCUGCCUCUUCUUUGCUUAUAGAGUUCGUGUAGGACAAUCAUUCGGAGAUAGGGCACCUCUGUUGGUGGUUUGGGAAAAAGAUCAGAAAAAGAAAUAUAAGAGAAGGAAGGGAUCCUGGUGGAGAAGUGUAAAAGAGAAAGAAAUGAUGAGAGGAUGUAAAAGUGCAGCCGAUGUUACACCUAUUAUUGAGCUAGGCUGGAAUCCGGCCGGGAGAGUUGCAUACUUGCAUGUUGACAUACGGGAAACAACAACCUCAACUGAGCAAAUGUUUCUUUUCUAGCAUCUCUAACAGUUAGGCAUUUACGUUUAGCAUUCUUAUUUUUUUAUC